GUCUCCCUAGAGUGUGCGCCAGUGGACUGCGUCCCUGAGCCGAUUCACACCAACCCGGAGAUUACAUUUUUAGAUUGGUGAGCAUGUCCGCUUGCGGAAAGCCUAAAGAUCUGACGUAAUCUCCACCUUGAACUUUCGGGUUCAAGGGCUAUGUCGACAGCGACACAUCCGGGGAGUCU
This 179-nucleotide non-coding RNA is filed under the name Pseudomonas sp. RNAcentral's name for it is "6S RNA". It matches the Rfam family "6S / SsrS RNA". Rfam says of the family: E. coli 6S RNA was the first non coding RNA to be sequenced, but its function was unknown until recently. RNAcentral also lists the same sequence under 2 other names. Lineage: Bacteria; Pseudomonadati; Pseudomonadota; Gammaproteobacteria; Pseudomonadales; Pseudomonadaceae. The record is from RNAcentral.